UCUCCGUAGGUGAACCUGCGGAGGGAUCAUUACAACGUAUCCAACGUAUACACCUUUGUGAAUUUUGUUUGAUUACAAACCAUCGUCCUCGGAAAGAGUGGGCAUGGCAAAUGUUAUGGGAGUGAGAAUUGCAAACUGUAACAUUUGUUCUGCUUUUUCCACCACGUGGCGAUCAAUUCUCAUUUUACCAUUUUUAUUUACCUUUUGUAAAUUUCUUGUUUACCAUAGUAUAAAAGCCACUUGGAGAAAUCCAACGCGGCUUCUAUUCUUAUUAAUUUAAGAAAUUAUACGCACAACUCUUAGCAACGGAUAUCUAGGCUCUC
This 323-nucleotide unclassified non-coding RNA is filed under the name fungal sp. RNAcentral's name for it is "partial contains small subunit ribosomal RNA, internal transcribed spacer 1, and 5.8S ribosomal RNA". Lineage: Eukaryota; Fungi. RNAcentral also lists the same sequence under 1 other name. The record is from RNAcentral.